UUAUGAGAGUUUGAUCCUGGCUCAGGACGAACGCUGGCGGCGUGCCUAAUACAUGCAAGUCGAACGCUUUUUCUUUCACCGGAGCUUGCUCCACCGAAAGAAAAAGAGUGGCGAACGGGUGAGUAACACGUGGGUAACCUGCCCAUCAGAAGGGGAUAACACUUGGAAACAGGUGCUAAUACCGUAUAACACUAUUUUCCGCAUGGAAGAAAGUUGAAAGGCGCUUUUGCGUCACUGAUGGAUGGACCCGCGGUGCAUUAGCUAGUUGGUGAGGUAACGGCUCACCAAGGCAACGAUGCAUAGCCGACCUGAGAGGGUGAUCGGCCACACUGGGACUGAGACACGGCCCAGACUCCUACGGGAGGC
RNAcentral lists this ribosomal RNA (366 nucleotides) under Listeria monocytogenes. Its description in RNAcentral is "bacterial SSU rRNA". It matches the Rfam family "Bacterial small subunit ribosomal RNA", at positions 1 to 349 of the family's 1533-position model. The record is from RNAcentral. Lineage: Bacteria; Bacillati; Bacillota; Bacilli; Caryophanales; Listeriaceae. RNAcentral also lists the same sequence under 1 other name.